Molecule: long non-coding RNA, 1557 nt
Filed under: Manihot esculenta (cassava)
Lineage: Eukaryota; Viridiplantae; Streptophyta; Magnoliopsida; Malpighiales; Euphorbiaceae
Description: long non-coding RNA (MESC_LNC006919)
Source: RNAcentral
UUCAUAAGAAAACUUGUAGAAAUCAUCUAUAGGACAUGAUCCAUGUAGUUUUGCCACCAUGGUGAUCACCAACUAAGGCAAGGACAGUAACACAGAUUUUCCAAACUACUACUAAAAGCAUAACUUCAUUUUGUCAUUUUGUGUGUAAAAAAAGAAAAAAAAAAUUGUGUGUGUGAGUCUCUUAUCAUGUACAGUUCAGGACUCAGGCAAGUAACAACAUUACUUUUCUUUUCAUAAUCUACUGGAUGAGAUACAAAAGGUAUAGCUAUCCUCCAUUUCUCCUCCCUGCAAACACCCCCAUCUCUUGAAAAUAGUUCUGCCUCCUGUUCCUCACAAACUAAGACAAGGUCCUGCCAUUAUAUGCUGCUGCUAGCAACUGUAAACAUCAACAAAAGGUGCCUAAAGAAACAAGCUCAUAUCUCCUCGGAUAUUAAUCUAUUUUUCAUAAGCAAUUUAAAGCAAGGCAGGUAACAACAUUAUUGACCUCGCAAGCACCCACCAUCCGACAUUAGCAUAAUUCUCAAAAGUUACUUGCCAAAUAUUCAUACUACAUAUCAUUCCCAGCUGAAGCGUCCAAAACUACACAUUUUGAUGGGAAAAAACAAAGAAUUACUAUUAGUUCCUUUUGAAGUUUUAAGAAAAUUUAUUGAUUUGUCCCUAUUUCAAAAUAACAGGUUAAAAUAACUAAAUAAAAUAAAUAUUUAAAAGGGAAAAUUACUUCUUAGUCCCUCAGGUUUAACGUAAUUAACACUUCUGUCCCUCUAUUUUGGCAACCCAACACUUAAGUCCCUCACUUUCUCUUCCGUCCAAUUUCGUAGUCCUUCCGUUCAUUUAAACCGUUUGGUCAAAGAGUCAAAAGUGAGAGGUGAUAAUUUUUUCCAGAAAUACCCNNNNNNNNNNNNNNNNNNNNNNNNNNNNNNNNNNNNNNNNNNNNNNNNNNNAAGAAGAAGAAGAAGAAGAAGAAGAAGAAGAAGAAGAAGAAGAAGAAGAAGAAGAAGAAGAAGAAGAAGAAGAGGGUUAAUUUUGUCAAUUCACGUGUCCCAAACGGCUAUUUUGAACGGAAGGACUGCGAAAUUGGACAGAAGAGAAAGUGAGGUACUUAAGUGUUGGGUCGCCAAAAUAGAGGGACAGAAGUGUUAAUUACGUUAAACCUGAGGGACUACAAAGUAAUUUUCCCUAUUUAAAAUUAUAUGAAAUAAAAUUAUUAGAACUAAACAAUAUAUAAAUCGAAGAAGGCUGAUGAUUUCUUUCAUGUAAGUUUUAAAGAGUUGGUAAAAAUAACUGACUAUAAGGACAAACUAGUAAAUUUUUAAAAUCCAGUGAUCUUAUAAUAAUUAAUAAGAAGUAUAUAUGCAUCCAAAUCGAUUGACAAUAGCUUAAAGCGUAACUAACCAUGAUGCAGAAACAGGACUGGCAAAUCUAUUAAGAGCACUGCAAAUGCUAACCUGUUCAUCUACAAGCUCCGAUUUAUUUAAAACGAGCGUCAAUGGUAUGCCAGCGGAUUCAGCCUCGACAAGAAACCUCGUGAGCGUGAAAGGCUGAAUCUUCGGCUGCUCC